UGUGUAUGUAUGCGCGUAGGAAACCCAAGGCAAAUCCUAAUCAUUUCUGUUUGUGAAGAUGACAGAUAGUUUAAAGGUUACGGGAUAAAGUUCAGGUGGUAAAUGCAAUAUAUAAAGGGUCCGUUCAUGCAUUACGUGAAAUAACUUAGAAGUCGUUCAAAAUGAUUUGGUGGAUAUUAACUGCGUUAUUGUUAGCAGGUAUGGCCAAUGGUCAGAAAAAACCCGACCAGUUUGACUGUUCUGGAUUACCCGAGGGCGUGGUCUGGUGGGGUUGCAGAGCGUUUGGUGAAUGUAGAGGAGGUACACAUAUCCAGACAGAUUGCCCAGAUGGUUACGCCUACAAUCAGCAAUCGGGUUGUACAGAG
Patella vulgata (common limpet) is the source of this 365-nucleotide long non-coding RNA. RefSeq lists it as uncharacterized. The transcript has 2 exons. Lineage: Eukaryota; Metazoa; Mollusca; Gastropoda; Patellidae. The record is from RefSeq and is a predicted model, not a curated record.